Molecule: unclassified non-coding RNA, 1699 nt
Filed under: Hevea brasiliensis (rubber tree)
Lineage: Eukaryota; Viridiplantae; Streptophyta; Magnoliopsida; Malpighiales; Euphorbiaceae
Source: RNAcentral
UUCUAAAGGCCUUAUAUCCAUGCUCUCUAAAUGAAAUAUCCUUUUUCUAGUAAAACAAAAUACACAGUAUUCUCACUGUUACUAUCACUAAUAGAUCAAUUAAUCCUUGAAUAGUUACAACAGAUUAGAACAAAGAUACAACAGCAAUAAAAUGCAGAAACAAUUAAAAGAGUGGCAUUUGUGUCGUGCACUCCAACUUUUUCUAAUUUUUGACAAGUAACAUCACAUAUGAACAAUAUAAUGGCAACUAUCAGUCACUCACUGAUUGUGAUGACGCAUCGCCUCCCAUCAACUGGCCUACUUCCUUUUUUCAUCAGAGACCCAAACAGGAUGGAUUAAACCACGACUUAACUUGGAAUUAUCUCAGAUCAACCAUUACCAAGUUAUCUGAUCUUUGUGCCUUACUAAACCAUGCACAUCGGCACAAGCUCAGAGAUCUCCAAAACUUUAGAUGAACUUGAGCAUUGCAAUAAAUCUAUGCAAUUACCAAGCUCUUCACUGCCCCCCUAACUGCAUGUUAUACUAAUGCACCUGUGACAGAUAUUGAUACUUGGGUAUUAUCCCUAAAUCUAUGAAAAAUAAUAAUAACGAUGUGUCCAUGCUAACACAGAUAAUUCUAGCACACUCAAAAAAUGACCAACAUACAUAGAACUUAAAUUAUGAUUCAAGAACACACUAAAAAUAUGUGCUACCUACCUACUAUGCAAGAAAAGAUAAUUCAGGUUCUGAAUAUGAUGGCAGGCUGAAAGUAAAAGUCUUGAAGUCAAUCAAAGGCAAUGAUAUUCACCUUAUAAAUGAUCCUAGCACAAUACAGAAGAACAAAUACAGUUCAUAUAGAUGCACAAUGCCAUAAACAUUUUCUGAUAUUUUCUUUCGGCAAUCAAAUUUAAAACCAUAUGAUUGAAAAAAAAAAAAAAAUCUCUUACAACCCUGCUUUACCUUAAUUACCAAGGCUCAAUCACGCUAGUACAUUAGCCUCGGGUAAUAUUUCUCUUGCUAGGUUCCAAAACCCACACACUACUUGAAAAAAACCUCAGGCUGCAACGCUGCUCUCAUUCUGCUAUCAUAAAAAAUUCCUCAAGUCAGACUCUUGCAAUCACAACAUCAAAGUAAUAUUCCAUUACACAGAUUAUCUUUUAACCACGAAAAGUGGUCACUCUUUGCACACUGCAUUUUACAUAUCGCUUGCAUAAUCUCUUACCUGCUACUUCAUAUCCUGAUAAAAAUUUCUUUCACAACCACAACUCUCACAGAAACAUGAUGCACGUAAUUAUCAAUAACCUGAUGUGUCAAAGUAAAUUAACAAUAGUGACCCCCUAUAUGAAAUCACUGAACCAACUGCCAAUGUGUCAAAUAUUUUUCUAUCCAAAUCCCCCUUGUUGCCACAAAAUAAACAAUAUCAAUCACAUCUGAGAUUUUUUUUUUCUUUUAGGCAGGUAAUUGCUAAAAUUAAUAUUGCAAUAGGCAAAGGAACUUGUUGCAAUAAGAUAAUAUUUAGAACAUACCCUUCUCUUUCUAAUUAGACUUCAAGUAAUUCAUAUUAUACUUGUUCACAAACAUCACAGCCUGUUCAUAAUGAUCAUAGAGAUAUUUAGCUUCAAUGAUGUUCAUAAUAAUAUUAAUAAGAGACAACCAUGUGGCAGUAUCUCCAAACCUAAUAAUAUAAAUACAAGGUGUGUGCGUGCGUGUGUGUGUGUGU